GUCACACAAACUAAGAUGAAAAGAACUGUGUCUCUCGACCGAACCUGUGAGAAAUCCAACGCAUCCGUUAGUGCAUUGUUGAAGUCUUGAAGAGGAGAAGAGAACCUAUAAGUUUCGGUUCAUUAGAUCGGCUUUGUGAGGCGACUUCUUUUGCAUUUUGUGUGUAGCUGUUGAUUAUUACUGUCAAAAAGAGAACUCUUCUCCCAUUGUUUCGUCAAGCUUAGAAUUAUCGUUAUUAUAAACUACUGCAGCUCACGAACUCUUCUCCCCUUUCUUUUGUCAAGCUCACGAACACAAAUGAUAACAUUUUAAAUUCGAAACCCUAAACCCUAAACCCUAAAUCCUAAACCCUAAACCCUAAACCCUAAACCCUAAACUCUAAACCCUAAACCCUAAACUCUAAACCCUAAACCCUAAACCCUAAAUCUUAAACCCCACCCUUUGACUCUAAACCCUAAGUUUGUGACUUUUGAUAAAACAUUAAGUGCUAUUUUUGUGACUUUUGACCUUGAGUGCUAGUUUGGGAACAAAAACUUGAUUUAGUGCUAUUUUUGUCUUUUUCUCAAAGUAAAUUCAUGCAUGCAAGAGAUAAAUUUAUUUAGUAUUUUGUUAUGAUUGUGUCUAAGAUUAUCAAAGACUUUAUGAUAUUAAAUAAAAUUAUGUUGCGCUUAGUUUGGUUCAUAUUCAUUUUAAUAUGAUUGUCAUGAUUAGUGCCAAUAUACGAGAAAAAAAAUUAAUACUAUCAUCUAUUGUUAAUUUUAAUAUUAAUCUUGAUGAUUACUAACAGAAUGUGGCCAUGUAUUAUGAGCAAAAUUAUAAUUAUUUCAGGGAUACAUCAAUACAAGACAAGGUUUACAUGACAUUCUAACCAGCUCCAUAUCAAAUUUCCGACUGCAGUUCUGUUUAUUGAGAUAAGUACUACUUAUUUUCAGGCCUUUUAUCAAUAUAUAAUCAGCUAAAAUAUGACUAGCUAAAACAGUUUGCAUAUCAUCUUAUACAGUUUAUACAGUAAUAUAUAUAAAAAUAAUAAUUAAUGAGUUAUUAAUGAAAUAUCAUGAAUCAUGUCCCGUUGGUCAUAUUCUAUUAUAUUUAAAAAAAAAUGACCACACUAAGAACAUUGGUAAAAGAAAUGACAAUAAAAGUAGUUAUUAUCAGAUUAUUGAUAUAGAUACUGUCAAAGUAAAAAUGGUAUCAAAUAAGAGAUAUUUCUUAUACCUUAUAAGAAAAGAAACUAGCGUGAGUACAAUAUUUUGUAGUAUCAAGAUUACUGAAAGCUCUAGAAGAGCUGUUUGUCUAUAGAAAGACAACUUGAAAUCAUUAAUGCGUUAUACUUUAUCAAGUCUCAAGGUCAAACGGAUCUAAUAUAUAACAUAUAACCUUAAGUUGGGUAUGUUGUUGAUUCUAAAAUGGGAUGCAAUUCCAGAUAUAUGAACUUAGAGUAUCGUUAUCUCGAGGGGGAGAAUUAGAGAAUCUCACAUCCCUAGUGAGUGGAAAUAGACUCGAAAAAUCAUUUAUAAAAUAAAACCAUUUGAUUUAGAAUCUAAUAAUGUUGAGACAAAAGUAAAGAGAUAUGUUGAAUACCUUCAAUCAGAAGUAUUACGCACGACACUAGUGCAUUGUACUACACAAUGAUUAGAAAAUGGAGAUAAUAUAACCAGAAGUUUACCGAAAGUGUAAUGUUUGGCAAACCGGUUAUGCCAUCCCGGUUUAGUAAUGAUGCGAAAGAUAAUAUAUGCAUAUUCGUUGAAGAACCAGAAGAUUCUUACGAAUGAUCUGAUAUAUGCUGCUUGCUUACAAGGCAAUAUAAGAAUACGGGUUUCACCAGUCAAAUAGAUUUAGAACCUAUUUAAACAAGGACAUGUUUGUGGGCUUGAUCACCCACUGGUGGACUGAUCAUCCAUCAUAUGUUAAUGCAUCGACAAGAAGUUCGUAUGUAUCCUUGUCAUAAAUCGCAACCAAAUGUUUGCGAGACUAAUUGGUAAAACUGGUGAAUUCACAAGCCUUUGAUGAUUAUUUUAUGCAUGUGGAUAUACGUGAUGAACAUAUUGCAGCUAAUGUUCAUACGUAAGAUGCAGCAGCAAUGAUUCGCGUAAUGCCAAAGAGUAAUUAAAAACUUUCUCUAUUAAAUUGGUUUUGGGUCGGGAACCAAAGAUCCCCAUCUAGAGUUGCACAAGUUGUAAUUGCUCCACCAUACAACUAAAAGAUGGGACCUCAAAGGAGGUUAUGAAUAUGCUGGAUCUGAUCUCCAUUGAUGAUAAAAUCUAGAAGCUUUUAUAAGAUUUAUGUAAAGACUCAAAGUCAGUCUAUCCAACAAUAGAGAGAGAAAAUAAACAGCCGGAGAAUGAAUGAGUUAAAACGAAUUAUCAAUGAUCCUCGGACUAAAAAAUGUGAAUAGAAGUCCAAAACGAAUGUAUGGAGAUAAUUCUAUUACAAAGAUUAGCAUAUGAGUUGCUAGACUCAUUUACUGACCCUAAGAAAGUGAUUUAGUCACAAGUACCAGCUGUAAAUGCUCCAAUUAAAAUGGAUGUCCCAGAAGGACAAUAUCAAACUAUUAGUGAGUCUAAAGAGCGUGGAGCGUGAAAGACCUAUCGGUUCCAAAUAUAAUAAUCCUCUAAAAAGAAAAGGAGCAUGAAUGAGAAUGGCAUAAUCGAGGAAUGAAAUAUUAAGGAUCUCCAAAAGAGAUAGAAAACAUGACAAGAAAGAAUCCAGGUACCUGAGAAUAAAAAAAAUCUCAAAUAGCUAUGUCAUGUCUGGAAAAAUAUGGAACUGAUAUCAAAUCGACGUCGUAAAUAUAUAUGCAUGCAAUGUAGCAGUUGAUGAGAAUGAGGAUCAUGAACCAUCUAUUGAAAAGUGUACAAAAAGAAAUGAUUGGCCAAGAUGGAAAUAAGCAAUAGAUGCGGGAUUAAAUCUCUUGGAAAGAGAGAGUAUUUGGACAAGUAGUCCAUACACCUAAUGGUGUAAAACCAGUGGCAUAUAAAUAGGCAUUUAUGUGAAAGAAUGAAUGAGAUGAUGAAAAGUUAUGAGAUGCAAAAGAGUAAUUGCACAAGGAUUAUCACAAAGACCUAUAAUUGAUUAUAAAGAAACACAUCAUCAUGUGGUGGAAGCAUCAACUUUCAAGUUUCUUUAGUCUGGCAAGAAUUGAAAGCCAUUGGAAGAUGACAAUUAUGUGAAAGAUCCAGAAAGAUGUAAAUUGUAAGAAGCAGUAAACCCCAUAAAAACUUGGGCUGCACAAUAAGUGCUAGUUCUCGAGAACACUACUGGACAAAGUAUGCACAAAGUAUGCACAAAGUAGUACGAUUUAUACGAAUAACCUUUAUUAUUGCAUUUGCUUGUAGCAAUAUUCGCCUGAAUUAUGCACGAGCCAAGAUUCGCACAGAUUAUGCACUAAUCAGAUCUGAUAAUAAGAAUUGCGAAAUAUCUAAUUUGCAGAUGCACGAAUUCUUAUACGUAGAAAGCUCAAAUUUCGUACGCAUAUAUUGAGCAUAUAAAGAAAAUAAUUAUUGGUCAUGAGUACCAUAAUAUUGGGAAAUUUACUGAUUUCUUUCAUGAUUGAAAGAUGUGAUUUUGUAUGACAAGAAGGAUAGUCAUAAUUGUAAAUUUUACGAGAAGCAAAAGGAUAACUCGCAUGUAUAAGUAUGCAUAACGUGAAGGUUUAGAAGAUUGUCUAUAAGAGAAAAUUUGGAAAUAGAGUUCAAAUAGACCAAGAUAUGACCUUUUGUGUGAAAGAAAUGUUAUGGACAAGAAGUCCAAUGGUCUUAAGAGAUUAUCUGACAAUCAAACGAGUUUAUUCACUAAGGAUAUGUUUAUAGCAAUUCCUUAAAAGAUGAUAUAUAUGAUGAGAAUACAUCCCCCGAAGAUGAUGCUUCCAGGGGGAGAAUAUUAUCAUGUGUGUGGUUGUACUCUUUUUCCUUAUCAUUAGUUUUGUCUCAUUGGAUUUUCUAUGUUAAGGUUUUAACGAGGCAACAAAGAACACACAAUUGAUAGAUACCUUGAGAGGAAUAUUAUCACUUAAGUGAUAAAGAUAUAUUAAUCUUCUAAUGUAUUUUUGAGACUAAAAGAGAAGGAGAAGAGAAUUAUCAAGGUCUUGAAGAAGAAUCAAUGUAUGAACACAUUCUAUUUUUGAGACAGAAUCGAAGGUCAAUAGUUUUCUAAUCAAAGGAGACUUUUUAGAUGGAAUUAAAAUAUGAAAUUGGUGUCCAGAGAAAGAUCUUUGAGUCUAUUUUCAUUUCCAAUUUGAAUCAAGUCAUUAUCCAUUAUAGAACUCGAGAUGUAGCUUUUUUCGUGGGACAUGUACAAACGGUCUUAGAAUACCUAAUAUCAUAUGAUAUUCAAAACACCACUCGAUAUUUCCGUCUUAACAGAGCGAGAUCGGUGCCUAAAGUUAGACAUGUAUGUUAGCUUCGAUUUCCAAGUGGUUUGAAGUAAUUUUGUCCUAUGGUCACCAAGAUAUUCAAGUUUUAGUGAGGAGUGUCAAAUCUGUCGAGAGAAGUAAACCGGUCCAACCCCAAGAAGAAGGAGUUAAUUCAUCACAUUGGAUUAUGUCCUAUCAGAUAUCUCAAGUUAUGUUCUCAUCAGCGGGAGUAGAUGCGCACACUCUUUUUCCCUUCACCACGGUUUUUCCCACUGGGUUUUCCUGGUAAGGUUUUUAAUGAGGCAUCAUCUUAUGCGAUUUAGAAAAUAUUUUUUAAUGUACAUCCAAGGGGGAGUGUUAUGAACUAUUAUGUGGAUGUCCAUUAGACCCAUAAGCUCAUGUUCUAGAGGAUUCUUAAACCCUAAUGUUGUAUCCUUAUAUAUUGUAUCGUAAUCUAUAGAAUAAUAAGAUUAACCGAUUUCUUCUUUUUCUAUUCACAAUACUUUUAAGUGAAAUUCUCUACCAUUGCCGUUAAACCAGGAUUCCAGUUUGAUUGGGAUUGACAGUGUAAACGCGUGCAGUUUUAAUUUGAGAAUUAUAAAUGGAGAAAGUUAUUCAUCCUAAAUCAUUUAUAAAUGUUUUAAUUUUUUUUUGUAAAAGUUUAUAAACUCAACUCUACCCCUAAUACUAAAUCCUAAAUAAUAAUUAAUAAACUAUAAAUUCAGAUGUUAUGGUAUUUUGACAAUCUCACUCGAAUUAUGAGAAUUGGGUAUGUAGUGAGCAGCUGUCUGCGGUUGCAGCAAGAACUUAGAGACUCCUUGCAAUACAUCAUACCUGCUAAAUCAGUCUAUUGGGACUACGUGUACCAUGUAUGGACUCGCAAAGCAGGUCUUUUAAAAAGUGAUAUCCAAUUUAGUAUAUUUUAAUAGAUUUUUCUUUUUAAUUGUGCCAGUAGUCCAAAUACUUGUUGCCUUGGAGCAUUUAUAAUUUCAUUCCAUUUUUACUUAUUCUUUUUUGCAGCAAAAGUUUUUUUUUAAUUUUCUAUAUUUUUAUUUCUGCAUCAAAUUAAAAAUGAGAUUAAUUCGAAAUAAUUUAUUAUUUAUUAUUUCAAUUUUACUUAUCCUGUAAAAAUAUUAAAGUCUUUCUAAAAAAAUAAAAAGGGAAUAGUACAUUAAAUCCUUUUAUAACGCCUUUUGUGUCAUUACAUUUUCGUAUAUUUAUAAAAAAAAGUAUUAGAUCAGAAAUCAUGUACAGUAGAAUUUAUAGAAGAGAAAAUCAUCAGCUUUGGAAUGAAAUAAUUUAUGUAAGAUUGUAUAAAACAUGAUAUAAGUUUUUUUUUUUUUUUGUAACUGGCUUUGACAUGAUAUAAGUUGGUAAACAAAACUUUUUUGAGCAAUAAUUUCACAUUUACUGAUUUUCUUUUGAAACAAAAUGAUCGAAUGACAAACUCUUGACGAGUUAAUGUUGUCAUAUCAGUUGUUUUAAAUUUUUAGUAUGAACACCUCAAUCACAAAAGAACUUUUUUUUUUUAAAGUUUGGUAAUUCAUAGUGACGUCAGGGGAAGUCUUUAUGCGGCGAAAAUUCGUCGAUGCAUGUAUGGCCAAAUUCAAUAAUGACCAAACGUCAGCUAAAAUAAAAGAUGACCAAUGCGACAAAUAAAAUAAUCCAGAGUGUUGUUCACUUUUGCUGGCCUAUAAACCAAUUAGUCUAACAUUAAGAAUCUCACAAAGUCGGUCAUCUUCUUGAGCACGUUUGAACUUACGUUGGUUAUGGUCAGUUAAUUUAAGACAAACUUCAAAAAGAACUAUAAUAUUUUUGUUACAAACCAUAUUAUAGGAUAAUGGUGACACAAGAGAUACGUUUAAUUAUCAUGGAAAUUGGAAAGUGACAGGUUAUCGGGUCAAAAGCAUAUCUUCUUCCUCGGCAUUUCAUCUGGAUCAAAUAUCCGAAUACCCAUAUCUACUAUAUCUUUUUUAGUAGAUUUAUAUCACACGAAAAAUCUUUAUUCGUUGAGAAUUAAUCAGAUAAUCUGCAACAAAUAGGAAAAAAUACCUUUCCUAUAUAUUUCAAACGCAUUCCGAGUUCGAUUCUCCUGCUAAACGGGGUUGAUCUUCCUGCUGUAAAAACUAAGUCACAUUGUUCUGCUCACCAUGGCUGCGGAUAUGUCUGUAUUAAAACUCGGGAGAGGGUUUGUCGUGAGUUGCAUCUCCCACCUGGAAUUAAGUAUGUGUCUUUAAUAGACUUGGGUUUAACCUUUUUUUCAAAAAAAAAUAUAUUUCAAAAAUACACACACGGCUAUAAAGAAGAAUCACCAUGACAAAAUAAAGAAAUUUAAUUACGUCACAACUUUUCGGUUUUGAUCCUCUUGAUAACGGGAAGCUGACAUGGGCAAUUGCAAUCAUUUCUCCUUUUUUUCUCAAAACGGGUUUCUACUUCCUUGAGUCUAGCUGCUGCUACAACUCUCACAACCUCCUUAACAAUUUCCUUGACAAGAUCAGCUUCAGAGCUGCGAUAAGAGUACACCUUAAGUAAUUCAUAAAAAAUAAUUUCAUAUUGUGGAGGGAAGGAAUUAGAGCGAAUGUGAAUGGAAAGUACCUCUCAUCUUUCAACGACAAACCCAUCUUGCCAGAGAUACACUCCAGUGCUUCCUUCCAUUUCUUGAUCUGAUCUCCACUAGAAGCUUUCGCGAGGUUCCAGAAGUUAUCACCAAACUCACCUGUCUGUCUCCUGACUCUCCUCACGUCACGUGCUCUCACCUUGUAAAAUAUUGGAAUGACUUGGAUCUUUCCUUUGUCCGCUAGUUUCUUCAUCUUUACCAACUCAUCCAUACACCAGCUCGACUCUGCGUACCUAUAAUGAUUACGAUUCUUGUUACUAAUUUUGGUUCAGUGAAGUGGGAGCGUGAAAGAAAUACUAUACAAACCUGGUAGAGAAGAUGGCAAGCGCGAUCCUCGAUUCUUUGAUUCUCUCAAAGAGAUUCUCGAGAUCCUUGCCUCUCUGCUCGUAUUUGUCUACGAAAAGAUUGAUACCAUGCCUUUCAAAAGCAUCAACGAGAUGACUAGCAAAGCUGUAACGCAAUUGCUCUCCCCUCGGUAGUUCAAGAAGACGUGAUGGGCUUCAGUGGCAAAUAACAUUUUCAUCGUUCCACGAUAGCGUAGGAAGUUAAGAACUGACGUUGCUAAGACGUGUGUUUUUCAAAAGCAUAAGAAGUGGCAACAAGCGUGCAUUUUUCUUUUAUCAAACAAACCGAAUAAACGCUCAUAUGUAAUUUGAUAUCAUUUAUCAAAUAUAAUAAGAAGAAAACGGGCGAUCUGUAUAGAUAUGUAAACAAGGGUGGGUUUUACAGUUCUUACAAAACAACAAACUCAUCUAAUAUAAUAUCACAAAAAACAAAGAUGGAAAUAGGUACUUUAAGGAAACGAAUAAAACCUUUGUUUAAAUACGUCCAAACUCCAAAUAUUUUUCUAUAAGGGGGUGGGUGUAUUGGAAUAGGAGGUUUAGUAGAUUUUGGUUAUAAGAUAUGCGCCGUCUUAAUUUAGUAGUUUUAAAUAAACUAAAACUCACAUGCUACGAAAUUUCAAAGGACUGAGGUGGAAACCGUCUUUUUUUGGUAAAAAAAAACUAUGUUAAUAGUAUCCUUGAAUGAAAGUGGUACCUCCAGGAAAUGUAACCUAUGAACAAUACAAAUGGCCAUAUCAAUUAAUGAGUAUAAUCCGCAACAUUUUCAAGAAAUAAUAUUAAAAACUAUGUUAAUUAGUGGAGUUACUCUGAACCCCUAGGUUGAACCUCUAGUUUCACCAACCAAUAAGAUUUCAUUAUUUCAAAUUUGAUAUCUUUUAAAAAAAGAAACAAAAUAUUGGCUAGUUAUAUUAUGUUUUUAAAAUAAAAAAAUAAAAAAAAGAGAUAGUACUAGAAAAAGAAUUAAAAAAAAAAUAUUUUUAACGUCGUCAACGAAACACUAAACCCUAAAUCCUAAUCCCUAAAUCAAAAUCCUAAAUCCUAAACCCUAAACCCUUGGGUAAACCCUAAACCUUUGGGUAAACCCUAAACCCUUGGGUAAACCGUAAACCCUUGGAUAAAUUCUAAACUCUAAAUAAAAAACACUAAAACCCUAAACCCUAAACCCUAAACCC
This 8484-nucleotide long non-coding RNA is filed under the name Brassica napus (rape). Its description in RNAcentral is "long non-coding RNA (BNAP_LNC020370)". The record is from RNAcentral. Lineage: Eukaryota; Viridiplantae; Streptophyta; Magnoliopsida; Brassicales; Brassicaceae.